Molecule: non-coding RNA, 1000 nt
Organism: Arachis ipaensis
Lineage: Eukaryota; Viridiplantae; Streptophyta; Magnoliopsida; Fabales; Fabaceae
Source: RefSeq, a predicted model, not a curated record
UCCCCAUGGAAUUCAUUCUUAGAAGAAUUUGAAGCAUUCUGCAUGUAUUGAACUUGUUCUUGUUGCUGCUCAACAUUGCCCACUUCACCUUGGCCCCAUUCAAUUGAAUGUUGACUUGUUGUGCUCACUGAGGCUAAUUGGAGGCCAUCUAUUCUCUUUGCCAUCAUUUUCAUUUGCUGUUGGAUUUGUUGGUGUAUCAGUUUGUUCUAUGCCAAUACAGCAUCAACACCUUCAAGCUCCAUUACACCUUUCUUUGGGGUUGAGUUAUGAUGCCUCUCUGAUGAGUAGUAGUAUUGAUUGUUUGCAACAAUCUCAAUGAGGUCUUGGGCCUCUUCAGCAGUCUUCAUCAUGUUGAGUGAUCCUCCUGACGAGUAGUCUAGUCCCUUCCUUGCUUCUAAAAUUAAGCCUUGAUAGAAGUUUUGGAGUUUGACCCAGUCACUAAACAUGUCAGGUGGACAUCUUUUCAUUAAUGCCUUGUAUCUUUCCCAGGCUUCAUACAGUGACUCCCCUUCCAUUUGCCUAAAAGUUUGGACCUCUGUCUUCAACUUGAUGAUCUUUUGAGGUGGGUAAAACUUGGCUAAAAAUCUUCCCACUAUAUAAUUCCAAUUGUUGAUGCUUUCCUUGGGGAAUGACUCUAACCAUUGAGUGGCCUUAUCCCUCAAAGAGGAUGGAAAUAGCAACAGCUUGUAGAUGUCCGGAUGCACUCCAUUUGUCUUCACUGUAUCACAUAUCCUCAGAAAAAUAGACAAGUGUUAAUUUGGGUCUUCAAGAGGUCCCCCUCCAUAAGAGCAAUUGUUUUGUACCAAAGUGAUGAGUUGGGGUUUCAACUCAAAGUUGUUGGCAUGGACAUUUGGGGUGACUAUGCUGCUUCCACAAUGCCUUGGAUCAGGAAUGGUGUAUGAGGCCAACACCCUUCUAGGUGGUCCAUUAUUGUUAGCAACCCCCUCAGCAGGGUUAUGUGAGUUGCCCUCCAUGACUUGGUCUUCCCCUUCUGAAUCCU